This 662-nucleotide ribosomal RNA is filed under the name Bacillus subtilis. RNAcentral's name for it is "bacterial SSU rRNA". It matches the Rfam family "Bacterial small subunit ribosomal RNA", at positions 33 to 677 of the family's 1533-position model. Lineage: Bacteria; Bacillati; Bacillota; Bacilli; Caryophanales; Bacillaceae. The record is from RNAcentral.
ACGCUGGCGGCGUGCCUAGUACAUGCAAGUCGAGCGGACAGAUGGGAGCUUGCUCCCUGAUGUUAGCGGCGGACGGGUGAGUAACACGUGGGUAACCUGCCUGUAAGACUGGGAUAACUCCGGGAAACCGGGGCUAAUACCGGAUGCUUGUUUGAACCGCAUGGUUCAAACAUAAAAGGUGGCUUCGGCUACCACUUACAGAUGGACCCGCGGCGCAUUAGCUAGUUGGUGAGGUAAUGGCUCACCAAGGCAACGAUGCGUAGCCGACCUGAGAGGGUGAUCGGCCACACUGGGACUGAGACACGGCCCAGACUCCUACGGGAGGCAGCAGUAGGGAAUCUUCCGCAAUGGACGAAAGUCUGACGGAGCAACGCCGCGUGAGUGAUGAAGGUUUUCGGAUCGUAAAGCUCUGUUGUUAGGGAAGAACAAGUACCGUUCGAAUAGGGCGGUACCUUGACGGUACCUAACCAAAAAGCCACGGCUAACUACGUGCCAGCAGCCGCGGUAAUACGUAGGUGGCAAGCGUUGUCCGGAAUUAUUGGGCGUAAAGGGCUCGCAGGCGGUUUCUUAUCUCUGAUGUGAAACCCCCCGGCUCACCCGCCGAGGUUCAUUGGAUAUUGGGGAUUUUGAUUGCAAAAGAGGAGAGGAGAACUCCACGUGUA